Molecule: ribosomal RNA, 497 nt
Filed under: uncultured bacterium
Lineage: Bacteria
Description: partial 16S ribosomal RNA
Rfam family: Bacterial small subunit ribosomal RNA
Source: RNAcentral
GAUGAACGCUGGCGGCGUGCCUAAUACAUGCAAGUCGAGCGAACAGAUGAGGAGCUUGCUCCUCUGACGUUAGCGGCGGACGGGUGAGUAACACGUGGAUAACCUACCUAUAAGACUGGGAUAACUUCGGGAAACCGGAGCUAAUACCGGAUAAUAUAUUGAACCGCAUGGUUCAAUAGUGAAAGACGGUUUUGCUGUCACUUAUAGAUGGAUCCGCGCCGCAUUAGCUAGUUGGUAAGGUAACGGCUUACCAAGGCAACGAUGCGUAGCCGACCUGAGAGGGUGAUCGGCCACACUGGAACUGAGACACGGUCCAGACUCCUACGGGAGGCAGCAGUAGGGAAUCUUCCGCAAUGAGCGAAAGCCUGACGGAGCAACGCCGCGUGAGUGAUGAAAGUCUUCGGAUCGUAAAACUCUGUUAUUAGGGAAGAACAAAUGUGUAAGUAACUAUGCACGUCUUGACGGUACCUAAUCAGAAAGCCACGGCUAACUACGUG